This 369-nucleotide ribosomal RNA is filed under the name Comatricha sp. Its description in RNAcentral is "SSU rRNA". It matches the Rfam family "Eukaryotic small subunit ribosomal RNA", at positions 76 to 405 of the family's 1831-position model. Lineage: Eukaryota; Evosea; Eumycetozoa; Stemonitida; Stemonitidae. The record is from RNAcentral.
UCUCUCUGAAUCUGCGAACGGCUCCGCAAACCAGUUGUAAACCAUAGCAAGAAUGCGUCGGCCCGUAAGGGCUGGCCCGUUUUCAAAACGCUUUUAUAUGGAUAACCGUGGUAAUUCUGAGGCUAAUACAUGACAAACCGAACCACCGACCCUUCGGGGUACGUGGGAACGUGUGAAUUUGAGGCUGGGAAUUUCGUGAAUGAACGCACGUUCAGACCACCGCUUAAGGAGUCGGCUCUCGGGUCGGCUCUGGUGGCUCUUGCAGCGGGCUUCUGACCUAUCAACUACACAGCAGCGUAACGGACAUGCUAUGGUAACAACGGGUACAGAGGAUUAGGGUUCGAUCCUGGAGAGUGGGCCUGAGAGAUU